This 496-nucleotide ribosomal RNA is filed under the name uncultured bacterium. Its description in RNAcentral is "partial 16S ribosomal RNA". It matches the Rfam family "Bacterial small subunit ribosomal RNA", at positions 28 to 506 of the family's 1533-position model. The record is from RNAcentral.
GAUGAACGCUGGCGGCGUGCCUAAUACAUGCAAGUCGAGCGAACAGACGAGGAGCUUGCUCCUCUGACGUUAGCGGCGGACGGGUGAGUAACACGUGGAUAACCUACCUAUAAGACUGGGAUAACUUCGGGAAACCGGAGCUAAUACCGGAUAAUAUAUUGAACCGCAUGGUUCAAUAGUGAAAGACGGUUUUGCCGUCACUUAUAGAUGGAUCCGCGCCGCAUUAGCUAGUUGGUAAGGUAACGGCUUACCAAGGCAACGAUGCGUAGCCGACCUGAGAGGGUGAUCGGCCACACUGGAACUGAGACACGGUCCAGACUCCUACGGGAGGCAGCAGUAGGGAAUCUUCCGCAAUGGGCGAAAGCCUGACGGAGCAACGCCGCGUGAGUGAUGAAGGUCUUCGGAUCGUAAAACUCUGUUAUUAGGGAAGAACAAAUGUGUAAGUAACUAUGCACGUCUUGACGGUACCUAACCAGAAAGCCACGGCUAACUACGU